This is a long non-coding RNA of Pecten maximus, 1764 nucleotides long. RefSeq lists it as uncharacterized. The transcript is spliced from 2 exons. Lineage: Eukaryota; Metazoa; Mollusca; Bivalvia; Pectinida; Pectinidae. The record is from RefSeq and is a predicted model, not a curated record.
UACAGGGGAGUACACUCUUACAGGGGAGUACACUCUUACAGGGGAGUACACUCCUACAGGGGAAUACACUCUUACACUGGGGAGUACACUCUUACAGAGAAGUAACACUCAUACAGGGGAGUACACUCUUACAGGGGAGUACACUCUUACAGGGGAGUACACUGUUACAGGGGAGUACACUUUUACAGGGAGGGUACACUCUUACAGGGGAGUACACUCUUACACAGGGAAUACACUCUUACAGGGGGGUACACUCUUACAGGAAAGUACACUCCUACAGGGGAAUACACUCGUACACAGGGGAGUGUACCUGACAUUUGAGUGCACCCUAGAAUAUAUAUUUCUUCUGUUAUAUCAUAGUAAUGCAGUUUAUUUUUGAAAUUUAUAGAACAAUGUAUUUUCAUAAUCAUGCUGGAAUACCCUUCAUGUAGACCAUGCAUUUUGACAAUGGUAAAAAUUCUUUCAUCACAAAAUAUUGAUGCUAAUUUGUCAUAAGUAACAGCAAUUAAAUAAACUAGAAUCAUGUUAUCCAAACUUAAGAGAUGUUAUUGGUAAAAGUAUUUGCUACUCUAUCAACAAGGUUAACAUGGUUACAUGAAAAUACCAUCUGGCAAUGAAUAAUCACUAAAUUACUUAAAGUAUAUAAUAUUUCAUACUGCAGUAAUAAAAUAUCUUUAUAAUAUUACUAUUACAUUAUUAGAAAUAAAAUUAGUAUGCUGAAAACAACAGUUCUAUUUUUAUUUCAUCAGGCAAAGAACAAAAAUAUAUAUCUCAUUAUUCAAAAUAACUAUCAGUUUUAAGCAUCCUUGGAAAAAUAUAUGUAACUUAAGACAACCUUUAAUUUAGUAUUCAUUUAUAUGUAAAUAUUAAUAUGGUAAAUCUAACAAGAACUGUAAAAUGAUUAGUCUAUGAACAUACUAAAAGCAUCAUAUGGGACAUAAUGAUAUUCUAAUGUGUGAUCAAUAAAAGAGUCCCUCAGUGAUCAUCAAUUAACACCACAGAGUCCCUCAGUGAUCAUCAAUUAACACCACAGAGUCCCUCAGUGAUCAUCAAUUAACACCACAGAGUCCCUCAGUGAUCAUCAAUUAACACCACAGAGUCCCUCGGUGAUCAUCAAUUAACACCACAGAGUCCCUCAGUGAUCAUCAAUUAACACCACAGAGUCUCUCAGUGAUCAUCAAUUAACACCACAGAGUCCCUCAGUGAUCAUCAAUUAACACCAGAGUCACUCAGUGAUCAUCAAUUAACACCGCAAAAUUAACUCCGAGUUUUCACAAUGCGUUGUCUAAUUACUGGUGUUUAUCAACUCAAAAGAGUUGAUCUUGCUAGUAUUUACAGGUUUAAUAUUAACUGAUGAUAUUGACUACAAUCCUAUAACGUGCCACUAAAGUCAAUUGCUCCAUUAAACAACUUUGUAAAGUAAUAAUUAAGAUAGUGAACUUUAUCAUAUGUAUGGGGACAACACCAUCUACAAAUGUGUUAUCUGACUAUAACUAAUUCUGCCACAAUCAAGAUCUUGAUUUAUGUUAAAUUGAACUUUACAUUCUAAUUACAUAAUGUUAGAAAUACAAGUUAUUCACCCGGACAUAUUGUGGUCUAGUGUUUGUUUUCAAUGAGAUUCACAAUUAGAAAACAACCAAGAAAAAAAUAUAAAAAACACUUCAUCAAACAGUUCAGAAACUUUCUGUUGCAUAAAUGUCAUCAACAACUAUCUUUACCUAUUACAGAGUCUCAAUUUUUUUCUCCAAGAGUGAAAUAGUACAC